GCCUCCACGGACUAACUCGAAGGUGUCGGAGCUGGAGGUGUGCAGCACGGCUCGCAAAGGGCGGCUGCUCGUGCCGACAGUGCCGUCUGGUGUGAGUUGCGCCGGCAAGGCUGUCUGAGUUGAAGGGAACCAGCCGCGCUGACUGCCUGGUGUGAGCCAGUCGCUAAGAUAGGGCUGCCUGCAGGGAGCCGGCCGUUCUGACAAGGGCGUGUGUUGUAGACCAGCCGCUCCGACGGAGCCGUCUGAUGUGGAACGUGCGCGUCGACAGUGCCGGCGUCUGAAGUGAGCUUGCCGCGCUGACUGUGCUGUCUGGUGAGAACUGUAUUGACAGUGCUGUCUGAAGUAAGUCAGCCACUCAGUGCUGUGCGCGAGCCACCUGUGCUCAGCUGUGACGGUGAUAAAGUGAUACAGCAAAGAGUAUUUUUCAAAAUCCUAUGGGAAAGAUUCAAAGCAGCUGGUUUGGUUUUGUGUUGAGAUAAGUUGUUUUCUUUGCGAGUUCUCUGAAACGAUGUGGAAGAAAUUGAAUACGGUGAUUCUGGCACUGGUCCUGGCGCUGGUCUGCGGCGUGGGGUCAGUGAGCUCAGCCGCAGUCCGAGGUCACCCUCGUCGGGUGCGACAGGUCUCCUCUGGUGGUGGUGACGCCGUCCCGUCUGAAGGUUCCGGCACCACACUGCUGAUACGUCCGACUCUGCUCCAGCUGCCCCCAUCGCCGGCUGAUCAGCCCGGGUCAGAGACCAGCCAGGAGACCGAGUCAGAGGUCAACGAGGGGCCCGGGUCAGCUGCCACCCAGGGACCCGGCAGUCAACAGAGCCAGGGUAGUCCCGGUGACGCCGUCAGCGGUUUUAACGGAGUGACGAUCCUUAUCCGGCCGACUUUAAUCCAGCUGUGACCCUGGCGAGAUUGUACGGCGAACACUUGGUGGGAACCAGCAGCCGAUGAAGGCCAAGUGUCGGCUCUCUUGGGGCUCAGAAGUCAAUGAACUUUGUCUGCAUUCCUUCGCUAUGUUGCAUUAAUAUAGCGCUUCAUGCAUAUUUGAUCCAGUUUUAUACAAAUUGGGUUAUGAAUACGAUCAUAUUCUGUAGUUCUGGUCGGUCUCAUAAAUAUGCAACGUCUUCUACAAGAUUCUGAAUGAUAAUGUAUUUAAACUGCCUGACUCCUUGCAGUUUGGUUGAAGCGUAAGCGUGUCAUUUGAUAUCAAGAUCUGAUUUAUUUUCUGCUGGAAUGAAGGCACACACUUCUCAUGAUUAUGUCAAGCAGGCUCUCUGAAUCCUAAUUCCCGAACAGAUUAAACAACUGCAGAUCGAUUUCGUUUUUAAACUGAUUCCUCGUAGGUACAGCCCUCUGCAAACUGCGUGGUAGGUAUUCUUUCUUCGACAAAACCGAGCAUAACGCGGAUACUAUGCUAUCGGUCGCUCGGAAAUCAUAACAGCAAGAUGCGCGAGACUCCGCACCUUAGAUUGGCAUUACCAUCGCAUUCAUUUUCCAUCCAGUUUGGCAACAAAACCCAAAAGUUUAUAUUUGCCCCCAAAACAAACUUUUGCAUUUUGUUGCCACACAAGGCAUAUACUUUGUUUAGUGAUAUACCCAAUCGAAAGAGUAGAGCAAGGCGCCUCUAUUUUCAGUGAGUUCCGACCGACUGGCAACAUAGUCUUUGAGUUAUUACUGGUUUUGUCGAAAAAAGAAUACCUACCACGCAGUCUGCUGAGGACUGUACGCCUAGUACGGUGAGGUUAUUUUAUUGGAAGCGUGCUUUCCUAUAUAGCAAUGCAUGCAAGUUGUGCAAACUUCCGAUUGACUGUUCGGGGUUACUUACUACGUAUGUGCUGCGCAGGGCCUCAAGAUUUGAUAUUCAUUCGGUGUUGUGUGCCACGGCAGUCGGCGCCGUCACUCCAUUCAGAGUCAGUGUCAUGUUCGGAAUAUGCGCCGUCGUCACUCGCUCUGAUGACUCCAGUGUGCCCGUCAUCGCUCACCCAUGAAUAGUUAAUACCCGAGUGGAGGGGUCGAUGCCCGCGUGGCGUGAUGUCUUUGUAUAUUGAACACGGACAGUGAUGCGUCAAAUGAUGGUGUCUGACUGCGCAUGGAAGGCCUCCCUUUGACGAUAGCGUAGCGUGUUUUUUUUUACAAUAGGAAAGUAUGUCCCUCCUGAUUCUUUUU
This is a long non-coding RNA of Amphibalanus amphitrite, 2154 nucleotides long. RefSeq lists it as uncharacterized. The transcript has 2 exons. NCBI's taxonomy places the organism in Eukaryota, Metazoa, Arthropoda, Thecostraca, Balanomorpha, Balanidae. The record is from RefSeq and is a predicted model, not a curated record.